CGAGUAGCUCAGUUGGUUAGAGCGCCGGCCUGUCACGCCGGAGGUCGAGGGUUCAAGCCCCUUCUC
Molecule: transfer RNA, 66 nt
Filed under: human gut metagenome
Rfam family: tRNA
About the family: Transfer RNA (tRNA) molecules are approximately 80 nucleotides in length. Their secondary structure includes four short double-helical elements and three loops (D, anti-codon, and T loops). Further hydrogen bonds mediate the characteristic L-shaped molecular structure. tRNAs have two regions of fundamental functional importance: the anti-codon, which is responsible for specific mRNA codon recognition, and the 3' end, to which the tRNAs corresponding amino acid is attached (by aminoacyl-tRNA synthetases). tRNAs cope with the degeneracy of the genetic code in two manners: having more than one tRNA (with a specific anti-codon) for a particular amino acid; and 'wobble' base-pairing, i.e. permitting non-standard base-pairing at the 3rd anti-codon position.
Source: RNAcentral